Molecule: non-coding RNA, 123 nt
Organism: Agrilus planipennis (emerald ash borer)
Lineage: Eukaryota; Metazoa; Arthropoda; Insecta; Coleoptera; Buprestidae
Source: Rfam
AAAACGGCCUGAGGUAGAGGGGUUUUAGUCGGUAGGUCCGAGGACUUCUUCCUCGGGAAUCCGACACUACCCAGUCGUACGGACGGCUGGGUGUCUUUUGAAGAUUUCCCCUCUUCCACGAAA